UGGGAGCCGCAGCCCCGAGCCCGGUCGCCUCACUUGGCGGACGUGAGGCCUGUAGUAAAGAGUGAGGCCUGAGGUAGAUUACCCCUCCCAUCGAAUAUGUUAGUUUCCUGCUUACCGCGUAAACAACCCGCUCAACAAUAUAGUCUGCCUGGCAACUGAUGAUGUUAGCCAAUCAGCUUGCCUUGCUUACUUUAACAUGAUUGGACACUGUACCCGUAUAUAUACCGGUGCCACCCCUGGGCGGAAGUAGAAGCCAGAUAGAAGCCCAGAAGUAAAAGCCCAGAAGGAGCCGCGGAGAGCGGACCGGUAGAGGCUUUGGGGCAGACUGAAGCACAAAAGGAGCCGCGGGGAGCGGACCAGAGGAGGCUUCAGCUGGGAGAACCCAGGGCAGGCUGUACGGAGAAGGAAAAUAAAAAGAAAAGGUUGUCCACUACCAGACUGUGUCGUGUGUCCUUCCUGCCGGCCGGGAGCGGACAUCGACAUUUGGAGGCCCGCCCGGGGACUGAUCACCCCCGAGACGUGGAAGUGGACAACGCUCCAGUACAGAGCUGCGAGACAGGAACCGGGACGAGAACCACUGUGGAUACCGGAGAGACUGACACGGGCAACAAAGCCCUCGACUGAAGAUCAGACCUGCCCUACUGGAGAUCCAUCACAGACCAACCAACAA
Molecule: long non-coding RNA, 670 nt
Organism: Cavia porcellus (domestic guinea pig)
Lineage: Eukaryota; Metazoa; Chordata; Mammalia; Rodentia; Caviidae
Exons: 2
Source: RefSeq, a predicted model, not a curated record